UACGUAGGGUGCAAGCGUUGUCCGGAAUUAUUGGGCGUAAAGAGCUCGUAGGCGGUCUGUUGCGUCGGCUGUGAAAACCCGAGGCUCAACCUCGGGCCUGCAGCCGAUACGGGCAGACUAGAGUUCGGCAGGGGAGACUGGAAUUCCUGGUGUAGCGGUGAAAUGCGCAGAUAUCAGGAGGAACACCGGUGGCGAAGGCGGAUCUCUGGGCCUUACCUGACGCUCAGGUGCGAAAGCUAGGGGAGCGAACAGG
RNAcentral lists this ribosomal RNA (253 nucleotides) under uncultured bacterium. RNAcentral's name for it is "partial 16S ribosomal RNA". It matches the Rfam family "Bacterial small subunit ribosomal RNA", at positions 524 to 776 of the family's 1533-position model. The record is from RNAcentral.